AGCGAACGCUGGCGGCAGGCCUAACACAUGCAAGUCGAACGAACUCUUCGGAGUUAGUGGCGGACGGGUGAGUAACACGUGGGAACGUGCCUUUUGGUUCGGAAUAACUCAGGGAAACUUGUGCUAAUACCGAAUGUGCCCUUCGGGGGAAAGAUUUAUCGCCAUUAGAGCGGCCCGCGUCUGAUUAGCUAGUUGGUGAGGUAACGGCUCACCAAGGCGUCGAUCAGUAGCUGGUCUGAGAGGAUGACCAGCCACACUGGGACUGAGACACGGCCCAGACUCCUACGGGAGGCAGCAGUGGGGAAUCUUGCGCAAGGGGCGAAAGCGUGACGCAGCCAUGCCGCGUGAAUGAUGAAGGUCUUAGGAUUGUAAAAUUCUUUCACCGGGGACGAUAAUGACGGUACCCGGAGAAGAAGCCCCGGCUAACUUCGUG
This 433-nucleotide ribosomal RNA is filed under the name uncultured bacterium. Its description in RNAcentral is "partial 16S ribosomal RNA". It matches the Rfam family "Bacterial small subunit ribosomal RNA", at positions 29 to 507 of the family's 1533-position model. The record is from RNAcentral.